GGUUAAGCGACUAAGCGUACACGGUGGAUGCCCUGGCAGUCAGAGGCGAUGAAGGACGUGCUAAUCUGCGAAAAGCGACGGCGAGGUGAUAUGAACCUUUGACCCGUCGAUGUCCGAAUGGGGAAACCCAGUGUGAUUCGUCACACUAUCGUUAACUGAAUACAUAGGUUAACGAGGCGAACCGGGGGAACUGAAACAUCUAAGUACCCCGAGGAAAAGAAAUCAACCGAGAUUCCCCCAGUAGCGGCGAGCGAACGGGGAGCAGCCCGGAGUCUGAAUCAGCUUGUGUGUUAGUGGAAGCGUCUGGAAAGUCGCACGGUACAGGGUGACAGUCCCGUACACGAAAAUGCACAGGUUGUGAACUCGAAGAGUAGGGCGGGACACGUGGUAUCCUGUCUGAAUAUGGGGGGACCAUCCUCCAAGGCUAAAUACUCCUGACUGACCGAUAGUGAACCAGUACCGUGAGGGAAAGGCGAAAAGAACCCCGGCGAGGGGAGUGAAAAAGAACCUGAAACCGUGUACGUACAAGCAGUGGGAGCACCUUCGGGUGUGACUGCGUACCUUUUGUAUAAUGGGUCAGCGACUUAUAUUCUGUAGCAAGGUUAACCGUAUAGGGGAGCCGCAGGGAAACCGAGUCUUAACUGGGCGUUAAGUUGCAGGGUAUAGACCCGAAACCCGGUGAUCUAGCCAUGGGCAGGUUGAAGGUUGGGUAACACUAACUGGAGGACCGAACCGACUAAUGUUGAAAAAUUAGCGGAUGACCUGUGGCUGGGGGUGAAAGGCCAAUCAAACCGGGAGAUAGCUGGUUCUCCCCGAAAGCUAUUUAGGUAGCGCCUCGUGAACUCAUCUUCGGGGGUAGAGCACUGUUUCGGCUAGGGGGCCAUCCCGGCUUACCAACCCGAUGCAAACUACGAAUACCGAAGAAUGUUAUCACGGGAGACACACGGCGGGUGCUAACGUCCGUCGUGAAGAGGGAAACAACCCAGACCGCCAGCUAAGGUCCCAAAGUCAUGGUUAAGUGGGAAACGAUGUGGGAAGGCACAGACAGCCAGGAUGUUGGCUUAGAAGCAGCCAUCAUUUAAAGAAAGCGUAAUAGCUCACUGGUCGAGUCGGCCUGCGCGGAAGAUGUAACGGGGCUAAACCAUGCACCGAAGCUGCGGCAGCGACGCUUAUGUGUUGUUGGGUAGGGGAGCGUUCUGUAAGCCGUUGAAGGUGUGCUGUGAGGCAUGCUGGAGGUAUCAGAAGUGCGAAUGCUGACAUAAGUAACGAUAAAGCGGGUGAAAAGCCCGCUCGCCGGAAGACCAAGGGUUCCUGUCCAACGUUAAUCGGGGCAGGGUGAGUCGACCCCUAAGGCGAGGCCGAAAGGCGUAGUCGAUGGGAAACAGGUUAAUAUUCCUGUACUUGGUGUUACUGCGAAGGGGGGACGGAGAAGGCUAUGUCAGCCGGGCGACGGUUGUCCCGGUUUAAGCGUGUAGGUGUGUGUUCCAGGCAAAUCCGGUUCACUUUAACACUGAGGCGUGAUGACGAGGCACUACGGUGCUGAAGUGAUAAAUGCCCUGCUUCCAGGAAAAGCCUCUAAGCAUCAGGUAACACGAAAUCGUACCCCAAACCGACACAGGUGGUCAGGUAGAGAAUACCAAGGCGCUUGAGAGAACUCGGGUGAAGGAACUAGGCAAAAUGGUGCCGUAACUUCGGGAGAAGGCACGCUGAUAUGUAGGUGAAG
RNAcentral lists this ribosomal RNA (1723 nucleotides) under Enterobacter cloacae complex sp. P42RS. Its description in RNAcentral is "partial 23S ribosomal RNA". It matches the Rfam family "Bacterial large subunit ribosomal RNA", at positions 1 to 1767 of the family's 2925-position model. The record is from RNAcentral. RNAcentral also lists the same sequence under 1 other name. Lineage: Bacteria; Pseudomonadati; Pseudomonadota; Gammaproteobacteria; Enterobacterales; Enterobacteriaceae.